This is a long non-coding RNA of Antechinus flavipes (yellow-footed antechinus), 1526 nucleotides long. RefSeq lists it as uncharacterized. NCBI's taxonomy places the organism in Eukaryota, Metazoa, Chordata, Mammalia, Dasyuromorphia, Dasyuridae. The transcript has 2 exons. The record is from RefSeq and is a predicted model, not a curated record.
GGGGAGGGGCCGGUGAGGAGUGGGGGGAGGGGCGGGGUGGCCGGCUGGGGGGCUGUUUCCUUGGCCCCCCCACUCCUGGGGAACAGUUGGGAGGGAGGAUGUGGGGACAAGGGUCAGGGGUCAGCCUUAGGGGAAGACUGGGCUGGGUCAGGGGCAGCAGCUCCCCCUCCUCCCUUGGCCCCUGGGGGGCGCCAGCAAGUCAGGUGGGCCAUCCCCGCUCCCCUGGGCUCGGCUGGGCCUCCUCGCCCUAGGCCCCGGCCCGCGGCUCUCCCAGCUCGGGGGCAAACGGGCCGUGUCCGAGGCCCUUCCUCUAGGAGGGUCAGAGCCUCGCCUCCGGGGCCACCCGGUCCGCUCUCCCCCACGCUGGUGCUCCGCUCGCCGGCCCAGGCCCGGCGCCCCUCCCCGAGCCUCCGGCCCGAUGGAAGGAGACCGGGGCCACCGCCCCCCAGCCGUGGGGUCAGAGCCGGGCCUCGCACCCAGAACCGGCACCUCUCCGGGAGGUUCCCCAUCCAGCUUGGAGGGAACCACCCGGGCUGAGAUCACGUGACUCCUGCCCUCGUACUGUGCCCUUCCCGCAAGGCCAGGCUGGGUUCCAGACCACGGCCCUAAGGCUCAACAACCCUUUUGUGAGGAUGUUCGCCAGAAAGCAAGCUGGAACUAGGGAGGACUCUGAAUUUGGGGAAGAUUCUCAGAGAGGACUCUGGAUUUAGGGAGGACUCUGAAUCUGGGGAAGACUCCUAAGGAGAAUUCUGGAUGCAGAGAGGAUUCUGGCUCAAACUUUGCCUCUGGACUGUCGACCUAAGAGCUGCCCCAGCCCAGAACCGCCAAACGCAGCCGCCGCGUCACAGGGCCGGUGCUCCCCGGGUGGAGGCCCAGCCUCCCUGUCGGCCUCUCCGAGGGCCGCGGCCGUGCCAGCGCACCAGCGAGUGUCAUCGGGUUCAUGAUGUCGUAGCCAGGAGGCGUUGGCCGGGGCUGGGCCGUGCCGGGCUCAGCGUCCGGUCUGGCCUCUGACCCGUGGUCACUGUGGGAGCCCUGCAGUCUACUCUCGGGCCGGCUUCAAAGGGUCACAGACUGACCCCUCCCCAAGCAGCGGGUCUCAGGCAGGGGAGGGCAACGGGCAUUUCUUGCUGCCCCCGUGCCAGGCCCCGGGCCCGGCUCCACAUCUGACCCAUCAGACUGAUUUGGGUCCAUUCUCAGCCCUUCCGCCGGGCAUCUAGCCCCUCUUGCCGCUCUCGCCAUCGCCCCCUUGUCGCCGGCACUCUCUGCUCCGAUUUGCCGAACCCCUGGCAUCUCCCAGCUCCGGGCCUUUGCCUGGGCCGGGCCUGGGGCCAGGCGCGCUCUCUCCUCACCUCCGCCCCUGGCGUGUCCCCUCUGGAGGCCUUUCUCGGGCCUUCCGGGUCAGGCCCUUUCUCAGACCUUUCAUCUACUCUUUGUCACGGUUGUUGCCGAGCGAGCCCUCGGGGAGGACUGCUUUCUGCCUUUUUUGGAGCAUACAGUAAAUGCUUAAUAAAUGCUCACUGACUGUC